Molecule: long non-coding RNA, 1280 nt
Filed under: Olea europaea subsp. europaea
Lineage: Eukaryota; Viridiplantae; Streptophyta; Magnoliopsida; Lamiales; Oleaceae
Source: RNAcentral
UCUAGGAGUUCAUUUUCUUUUUAGUUUUAUUGUGUUAUUGAGAGUUUUAUUAGUUCACUAGUUUCCUUAUUUCAAUUUCCUGGUAUUGUUAGGAAUAUGAAUAAUUUGUCUAUAAAUAUAGAAGCUACUGUACAAUUUUCAAUCAAUUAUUCAUUAUUCAAUCAAUAGAAGCAUAUUAUUCCUAUAUCGUUUCAUGUUUCUUUUAUUAUAAUUCUUAUUACAAGAAUUCAAACACGCUUCCGCACCAAAAUUGGUAUCAGAGCAAGGAAUUCACCUUAAUCCGUUACUAGAGGUAGUCGGACCACUGACGACGAACGGAAGCUCAACAAACUCGAACAAUGAAUCGAGGAGAUCGACGAAGCUCUUCGCAAUCUCACGCAAAUGGUGACUGCGUUAACUGUGAAGAACAGCCUCGUUCCAAGAACACAACAACAAGGAAAAAAAUUAGAUUACAAUGAAUACAUUGCAAAACAACCAAUCCAACAGAAAGAAGAUUAUUCAGAUUCCAACGAAGACACUCACCUGGAAGUAAGAAGUCCAAGAGUUGCAACCGGUAUGGGAACGCUAACUAUACCCCAACCCCACUUCGACCCAAGCCAGGAAAGAUGACACCAAGCCUUUGCAGAUGACCGGCCGCAGCAACAGAUCCCUAGCCCUCUUGGUCGGCGAGGUUACACAAUCGCGAAUCGUGAUUUUCGCGAGUCCAUCCUACUGCAAUUGUAUGAAAGGAGGAAUAGAGGUCAAGGUGGUCUACGUGACGACACCAACCUCCAAUGAAGGGGCCCAAUCGACGACAAUGGUAGAGCUGGUGAUCGACCGCGAGCAACAGUGAGAGAGGAACGAGAGGCAAACGGACAAUUUGAUUUGAGGGAACGUGAUUUUGAUAAUUUUAGCGAGGGAUAUAAUUUUGACCAAGACAACAAUUUUGACUAAAGAAAUAAUUUUGAUCGACAGACAAUUUUGACCAAAUGUUUAAUUUCAAACGAGGAUUAAAUUUUGAUUGUCGACCGAGGGAUGUUGAUUUGCAUGGGCACCCUAAUUGUCAACCAAGGGAUAGGGGUUUUCAAAGACUGCCACGAGGGAUCAACUAUUUAUCCGAAGAAGAAGAAAAUUUUAGACCAAGGGCUAAAAAUCGAGGUCCCAAUGUUCAAGAAUUUAAGAUGAAUAUGGACUUGCCAAGUUUUGACGGUCGAUUAAAUAUUGAAGAUUUUUUGAUUGAAUCCACACUAUUGAAAUUUUUUUCGACUAUUUAAAUAACUCGGAACAAAGUCAAGUUAAAC